RNAcentral lists this small RNA (128 nucleotides) under Staphylococcus epidermidis. Its description in RNAcentral is "Staphylococcus sRNA sau-59". It matches the Rfam family "Staphylococcus sRNA sau-59". Lineage: Bacteria; Bacillati; Bacillota; Bacilli; Caryophanales; Staphylococcaceae. The record is from RNAcentral. RNAcentral also lists the same sequence under 1 other name.
UCGUCCUCUUGUAUAUCUACUAUGCUGUUAAUUUUUUGCUUAAAUUUGUCCCUUUUGGCUCUAAUUUUAUCUAAAUCAACACUUCUUCUAGUCUUACGUGCAUACUCGGUUGUCUUAUUUUGUAGUUG